This is a long non-coding RNA of Mytilus trossulus (common blue mussel), 961 nucleotides long. RefSeq lists it as uncharacterized. NCBI's taxonomy places the organism in Eukaryota, Metazoa, Mollusca, Bivalvia, Mytilida, Mytilidae. The transcript has 2 exons. The record is from RefSeq and is a predicted model, not a curated record.
UUAUCUGACAUCUAAAGAUUCUUUAAUUAGUUCAGACGUUGAUAUAACAAUGAAAAGUCGACUGGACAUGAUUAAUAUUGUAUCUUCUAUAAUUCAAAGCGGAAUUCGGUUUAUGAACGAGAAACCGUAAAAGCGUUUCUAGUUAUGUAUGUUGUCUACGUAUUAUCAUGAUUCCCGGUACUACGUUCCGGGUAUUAGCUAUUUGAUAUAUGUGAUGUGUAACAUUACGAUCGGGUACCAGCCAAUCUACGUGUGUAUGUGUACAUGAUUUCCCGCCAAAAUGGCCGAUUUACAGCUAAAAAAAUAGUCCAUAAACGUUCCGUAUAAUGAUAUGCAAAUUCAUGAUUAAUCGUAACUUUUUUUUAUCUUUGUAUAAUAAAUAUAACAAAAUGGAUUCCACAAAAUUGAAAAUAGCAUUAUUUUACGAGGAUUUCUCAUAUUUUUCUCACUUCCGGCGCAGUAAUACAUAUGUUUUGAAGAAGCUCGAAGGAUUUGACAAAGUGAAUUGAGAAGGGAACGGAUAGAUAUACGUCCUUGCUAUCAGGGCACAAACCCACUUUAAAGAGACUUGUCUACUGCCAUACCCAUCCUAUUUUCAUGCUCCAUUUGCAAGCAAGAGACUGAAUGGUUUGCAAAAUUAAAAAUCAGGACGGUGUCCAAUUAAAACAAAGAACUAAACUGGAUGAAUAUUGUAGGAGAAAUCUAGAGGAAAGUUUUGAUUUGUGAAAUUGGUUUUCCUGAUAAGUCAUUCAUCCUAGCCUGCAGAAAGGAACUAUAACUGUCCACCACCAACUGACGAGCUAAUGUUGAGCUUCACAUAUGGAAUUACUCAAAUACCAUCAAUGUCUAUGUUUUCAGCACAGAUUUCACAAGUUAUGACAAAGCUGUGCUUUUUUUUUAUACCUGUUAAAGAGUUGUAUACUAAAUUUAAUUUUUUUAUCAAUAAAUAUAUAUUGUGUCA